This 253-nucleotide ribosomal RNA is filed under the name uncultured bacterium. Its description in RNAcentral is "partial 16S ribosomal RNA". It matches the Rfam family "Bacterial small subunit ribosomal RNA", at positions 524 to 776 of the family's 1533-position model. The record is from RNAcentral.
UACGUAAGGCGCAAGCGUUAUCCGGAAUUAUUGGGCGUGAAGAGCUCGUAGGCGGUGUGUCGCGUCUGCCGUGAAAGUCCGGGGCUUAACUCCGGAUCUGCGGUGGGUACGGGCAGACUAGAGUGCAGUAGGGGAGACUGGAAUUCCUGGUGUAGCGGUGAAAUGCGCAGAUAUCAGGAGGAACACCGAUGGCGAAGGCAGGUCUCUGGGCUGUAACUGACGCUGAGGAGCGAAAGCAUGGGGAGCGAACAGG